RNAcentral lists this ribosomal RNA (240 nucleotides) under uncultured bacterium. RNAcentral's name for it is "partial 16S ribosomal RNA". It matches the Rfam family "Bacterial small subunit ribosomal RNA", at positions 15 to 244 of the family's 1533-position model. The record is from RNAcentral.
GAUCAUGGCUCAGGAUGGACGCUAGCUACAGGCUUAACACAUGCAAGUCGAGGGGGAACGACAUCGAAAGCUUGCUUUUGAUGGGCGUCGACCGGCGCACGGGUGAGUAACGCGUAUCCAACCUGCCUACCACUUGGGGAUAACCUUGCGAAAGUAAGACUAAUACCCAAUGACAUCCCACGAAGACAUCUGAAUGGGAUUAAAGAUUUAUCGGUGAUGGAUGGGGAUGCGUCUGAUUAG